GACGAACGCUGGCGGCGUGCUUAACACAUGCAAGUCGAACGGAAAAGCCCUGCUUGCAGGGUACUCGAGUGGCGAACGGGUGAGUAACACGUGGGUGAUCUGCCCUGCACUUCGGGAUAAGCCUGGGAAACUGGGUCUAAUACCGGAUAGGAGCCAUUUUUAGUGUGAUGGUUGGAAAGUUUUUUCGGUGUAGGAUGAGCUCGCGGCCUAUCAGCUUGUUGGUGGGGUAAUGGCCUACCAAGGCGGCGACGGGUAGCCGGCCUGAGAGGGUGGACGGCCACAUUGGGACUGAGAUACGGCCCAGACUCCUACGGGAGGCAGCAGUGGGGAAUAUUGCACAAUGGGCGCAAGCCUGAUGCAGCGACGCCGCGGGGGGGAUGACGGCCUUCGGGUUGGAAACUCCUUUCGCUAGGGACGAAGCUUUUUGUGACGGUACCUAGAUAAGAAGCACCGGCUAACUACGUG
Molecule: ribosomal RNA, 465 nt
Filed under: uncultured bacterium
Lineage: Bacteria
Description: partial 16S ribosomal RNA
Rfam family: Bacterial small subunit ribosomal RNA
Source: RNAcentral